ACCAGGUGUGGUGGUGCACGCUUGUAAUCUCAGUGGCUCAGGAGGCUGAAGCAGGAGGAUCAUGAGUUCAAAGCCAGCCUCUGCAAUGGCGAGGCACUGAACAACUCAAUGAGACCCUGUCUCUA
RNAcentral lists this small RNA (125 nucleotides) under Marmota monax (woodchuck). The record is from RNAcentral. Lineage: Eukaryota; Metazoa; Chordata; Mammalia; Rodentia; Sciuridae.